This is a long non-coding RNA of Pezoporus occidentalis (night parrot), 3583 nucleotides long. RefSeq lists it as uncharacterized. The transcript has 2 exons. The record is from RefSeq and is a predicted model, not a curated record. NCBI's taxonomy places the organism in Eukaryota, Metazoa, Chordata, Aves, Psittaciformes, Psittacidae.
GCUUUUUGACUAGCACAUGAAGAGGAUGAGGAAGAAGUGAGCAGGGAAUGCUAAUGAUAUGUCUGAACACAGAUCUAGAAACAAAGCAAAAGCCUUAAUGCACAAGUCUAGGAGAUAGGCGGCUUUUCCCAGGAACCCACUGGUUUUUGUUGCCUUUCUUUUUUUCCUCAGGAUUCAAGCUCAUUCUCCAUCCACUCUUGCCAGCAAGACUACAGCUGCACAAACAGGAGAGGAAGAAAAGGCCUAUUCUUGUUCGCUGUUUUCAGGAGGAGGGGACCAAUGUUCAUGGCCUGUCUUUCUGCAUAAACUCAUUCUACAAAGAUCCUGAAGCUGUCCUCUGUCUUCAGCUCUCUGUGCUGAAUAGCAGGUGCUUGUUUCUACCACACACUUUUUUCUCAGCCUUUGAUAGAACUUGAAAGGAGAUACUGGAUGUGCUUUUCUAGUUCAGCUCUCUAGCAUCUACUCAAGAGCACCAUGUUCUGUACUUGUUCCACUCUCUCCACAGUGUAUAAUAUAGGCUGAAGAAUCUAAACCAUGUUUUGAUUCUGACAUUUGCUGCUUUUUAUAAGCAAGAAGUUGAACUCCCCGUGAGCCCUUCCUCUGAUACAGUGGAUGAAAUCCAGGUAAUUUAACAUGCAACUAAGAUACUACAAAGUAUUGAAAAGCAUUUUUCAGUUGAGAGGUGUGAAUUGUUCUUGGGAGUCACUAGGUUCUGCAUAGUUCUUGCUACAGCCAUAUCCAGGUAUUGCCAUUGUCACCUCUGGGUUCAGAGGCAGUAGCAGUUGUGAUCCACUGGUGUCACAGCACUGUGCCAUGCACAGCCCAGCUGUACCGAAGAGGGAAGUUUCCUUUUUUUAUCUCUACAGCAAGUAAAGUGGGAUACUGCUGCUUUCACAGCUUGUGGAGGUUUUGAAAUUCAGAUAGGCUGGCUUGUGACCUGGCUUGUGACCCACCUCCUUUUGGUUUCCUGCUUCCUCUCCUAGUCUGUUUUAUUAAAUUUGGAUCCUUUGACUCCUUUGUCUGCUCUGAACUCUGCUUCCUACUAUCUUUUUUUCUGACUGUCCAGGAUGCCUUUAAGUCUUCAAGCAAAAAUUCUUUUAGCCUGAACUUCCCUGUCCAACCUGAGCCAUAACCCUGGCUGUGACUUGUUAAAAAGCUCCCACGUAGCUCCUUCUUUCUGUAGAUCAGAGAAGUGUAUCUCGUAACCCCUUUCUUGAGGUUUGUAAGUCAGCUGGAGCCCAGUCUAACCAAGUCUUGGCACUGCUUCUUCGGACAAACACCUUUUCAAUAGGCUUUUGUAUGCGACAGGCUCCCCCCUCCUCUUUGGCUGAAAGCAAACCAAGUGCCAGUGGUGCUGCUGAGUCUUGUUGCAGUCUUUGUGCCAAUCAUUUCCAUUGUUUCUUUGUGUGGCUUUCACAUUUUCCAUGGCCCCAGCUAUGUCUACAAUGCAGCCCACAGACCAUGGGUCUAUACGACACAGUAUCUUGUUCUCGCAAAUGUGAGAUCAGCCACAGCUUUCAAAACAAGUGAUGCCAUAAAUGAACUAAGCUGCAUUUAUUCAUGUAGGUUCCUUAAAACCUCUCCCUGUUGUUAAUCUUCUGUACCUGCUUUUGUGAUUGAGUGCUGUUUGGGCUUCUGUUUCUGCCGGUCUUGUGCCACUGGCCAGAUUGCGUAACUUUGGAAAAUACUUGGAACUUGAGACUAGGUAGAUGUUUAAGCAGAAAUUGAGGAUUCUCAGCCUGGCUUACAACUUGAAGUUCUGUAAGCGUGGUGUGUGAGCUAAAACCAUUUCUUGAUUAGCUGUGUUAUUUGGUGGACUCUUGAAACUGCACAGUUUACCUCCUAAACCAGAGUUCUUCCCCUGGCUCUCCAUGAUGCUUUUGAGAGCAGGGCAAGGAAUAGUACAAGGGGAUGCUCCCCAGGCCUAGAGCCUGUCACACUGCAUUGCCUUGCUAUCCCUGACUCCAUGAGGGGGGUGAAAGCACAGGGCUGUGAGGAAUAGAGUGGAGAGGAGAAUCUCAAGCUCCUCUUCUCACUGAAAUAUCUCUUGCUGCUGCAAGUGUAGCCCACUAGAGCACCCCCAGUGCUGCUUACCUCCUGAUUCCUCUGGAGUUCAAUUUCCCCAUAAAUAGUUCCCUUUGUUUCCUAGUGACUAAAUAAAAAUAGAAGACACUGUCAGCUCCCAGGCGUGGGGAGCACGCUGCAGACCAUGCAUUUCACUGGGUGCUGUCUGGGGUAUUAUUCCAUUUCAUUCAAGAUCCCAUGAUUCGCUGAAAUCCACGUGUCUUGCCCAGCUGCUACAGGGGGACUCAACUGAUAUUUUGUGACACUUAAAAUACCCUCAGCCUUGCUUUCUGUCCAUAAUUUGCUAAAAGGUGUCCCUGACAAGGAAGGACUAAGAGGGAUCAUCUACCAGGUUGGAACACGCUGCUGCCAGGUUUCCGCGAAAGUGAGGCACUGUACCAGCCUGCUGGCCACUGAGAUGAGCUGGGACGUGACACCAAGCACAAGAAGUGCUGCUGUGGCAUGAUGACCCUCAUGCGGAAGGAUGAGAAUUUUCCAGGCUCUGGAGAAUGGCUACUCCAGAAAACAAAGACAGCAUGGUGCCUGGUGCCUGGACAGAGCUCUGCCUGCAAGGAUGCGAACAGAAUUAAGGCGAGUAUGUUUGCAUUGGGUACUGCCCAUGUGAGGAAUGUUCCCAGUUCUCCUUACCCCUGUAUCCUUGAAUGCAAAACCCAGCUCCUUUCCAAAUAACCAAGUUCAAGGGCCCUGUCAAGCCCAGCCUGUUUUUCUUUCACAUGCUGCCUCCUGCAUGCCAGUAUUGGCAGUUGCUCUUGUCAUUCUUUUCCACAGCAGGCUGUUUACUGCUGAGAUUUGUGCAAUAGCUUGUGAAAUGUUCACAUGCUGGUUAAGCUGCAGCCCACGAGUUGUUAGCAAAGCCAAAUGACUUUAUGAAAGCCAAGCUUUGUAUCUGGGGGGAGUUGUGGCUCAGGUGCAAACUGCUGAGCUAAGAGGCACCCCCUUGCCUUGGAGAGCUGGGGAGAUGUCAUGAAACUUUGAGGGGAGAGCAUGUACUCCAUGCUUGCUCCAUCUCUUGGGCAUGAGCACAUGGCCCUGUGUGUUGCAGGCAGGGAUUUAGUUGGGCAUAGUUUCAGCUGAGCAGCAUUAGCAGUAAACAGUCUGUGUAAGAGCAUGUCAGAACCAGGAGUGUGUAACAACCUGGGAGUAAUUCCCAAAUUCAAAAACGUACCCUCGCAUUCAUGACAGUGGGUCAUGCGUCAGUGAGUGUAGGCUGUUAGGGAGGGAUGGGAUCCAUCUGUCUAGAAGGGGAAAGAGAAUCUUCAGUGAGAUGGGCUUUAAACUGAAGGACUGGGGGGGUAGAUCAUACCAGCCAGUGCAGGGACAGAUGUUCCUUGAGUGCCUCUCAAGAUGAGGAUCAAAGGCCUAACAAGAUUGAGGCUGUUUAUGUUCAUGGUGAAUCCUCUCACACUCGUCUGGGGAACCUGGCUGUGAAAUUGCCUCUCUGAAGUGCCGGGAUACAAACACUGGAGUAUGGGGAAUAAACAAGAUGAGCUGGAAAUCU